GCUGGCGGCAGGCCUAACACAUGCAAGUCCGAGCGCCCGCUAAGGGGANCGGCGGACGGGUGAGUAACACGUGGGAAUUUUCCNCAAGGUACGGAACAACUCAGGGAAACUUGGGCUAAUACCGUAUGAUGCAGAGAUGCCAAAGAUUUUAUCGCCUUGGGAUAAGCCCGCGUCAGAGUUAGGUAGUUGGUGGGGUAAUGGCCUACCAAGCCUGUGAUCUGUAGCUGGUCUGAGAGGACGAUCAGCCACAUUGGGACUGAGACACGGCCCAAACUCCUACGGGAGGCAGCAGUGGGGAAUCUUGCGCAAUGGACGAAAGUCUGACGCAGCCAUGCCGCGUGAAUGAUGAAGGUCUUAGGAUUGUAAAGUCUUUAGCCUGUGACGAUGAUGACGGUAACAGGAGAAUAAGCCCCGGCUAACUUCGUG
This 426-nucleotide ribosomal RNA is filed under the name uncultured bacterium. RNAcentral describes it as "bacterial SSU rRNA". It matches the Rfam family "Bacterial small subunit ribosomal RNA", at positions 35 to 507 of the family's 1533-position model. The record is from RNAcentral.